Long non-coding RNA from Oncorhynchus tshawytscha (Chinook salmon), 929 nucleotides. Lineage: Eukaryota; Metazoa; Chordata; Actinopteri; Salmoniformes; Salmonidae. The record is from Ensembl.
UGUGAUGUUACAUGCUACUACAGUUACAUACAUGUUGUGAUGUUACAUGCUACUACAGUCACAUACAUGUUGUGAUGUUACAUACUACUACAGUUACAUACAUGUUGUGAUGUUACAUACUACAACAGUUACAUACAUGUUGUGAUGUUACAUACUACUACAGUUACAUACAUGAUGUUACAUUCUACUACAGUUACAUACUACUACAGUUACAUACAUGAUGUGAUGUUACAUACUACUACAGUUACAUACAUGAUGUUACAUACUACUACAGUUACAUAUGUGAUGUUACAUUCUACUACAGUUACAUACAUGUUACAUACUACUACAGUUACGUACAUGUUACAUACUACUACAGUUACGUAGAUGUUACAUACUACUACAGUUACAUACAUGAUGUUACAUACUACUACAGUUACAUAUGUGAUGUUACAUACUACUACAGUUACAUAUGUGAUGUUACAUACUACUACAGUUACAUACAUGUUACAUACUACUACAGUUACAUGCAUGAUGUUACAUACUACUACAGUUACAUACAUUAUGUGAUGUUACAUACUACUACAGUUACAUACAUGAUGUUACAUACUACUACAGUUACAUACGUGAUGUUACAUACUACUACAGUUACAUACGUGAUGUUACAUACAUGUUACAUACUACUACAGUUACAUACAUGUUACAUACUACUACAGUUACAUGCAUGAUGUUACAUACGUGAUGUUACAUACUACUACAGUUACAUACAUUAUGUGAUGUUACAUACUACUACAGUUACAUACAUGAUGUUACAUACUACUACAGUUACAUACGUGAUGUUACAUACUACUACAGUUACAUACGUGAUGUUACAUACAUGUUACAUACUACUACAGUUACAUACAUGCUGCUACAUACAUGAUGUGAUGUUACAUACUACUACAGUUGCA